RNAcentral lists this small RNA (102 nucleotides) under bovine gut metagenome. RNAcentral's name for it is "RT-5 RNA". It matches the Rfam family "RT-5 RNA". Rfam says of the family: Clostridium (Firmicutes). Environment (Cow rumen (57)) The record is from RNAcentral.
UUGCGCCUGUGACGGGUCAGGCACGUCCCUUGGAGGCUUCGCAGGCAGCCGGACGGUGUACGGCCUUGUAAAUCCCUGAAUUUUCAGGGAUUUAACGGAUUC